GCCGCGAUGGUGAGCGACGAUGGCGAGAGCCGCGAUGGUCGGUGGUGGAAGUUCGAUGGUGACUGUUAGCAGGGAUAUCAAUUUCGAUCUGUCCUCUCCCAUUCACCAGGAGAAAGAUGCAGCUCUUGGAAAUGGGGGUCUGGGAAGGCUUGCUUCUUGCUUUCUAGAUUCUAUGGCAACAUUAAAUUUGCAUGCAUGGGGGUAUGGUUUGAGGUACAGAUAUGGGCUGUUCAAGCAGCGGUUUGGCAAAGAGGGCCAAGAAGAAAUUGUCGAAGACUGACUUGAGAAGUUUAGCCAUUGGGAAGUUGUCAGACAUGACAUUGUGUUCCCUGUCAGAUUUUUUGGUCAAGUUGAAGUACAUCCCUCUGGAUCGCGGAAAUGGGUUGGUGGGGAGGUUGUACAAGCUCUAGCAUAUGAUGUUCCUAUUCCAGGAUACAAAACCAAGAACACUAUUAAUCUUCAUCUGUGGGAAGCCAAAGCUGGUGCUGAAGACUUCAACCUCUUUCAAUUUAAUGAUGGACAGUAUGAAUCGGCUGCACAGCUCCAUUUUAGAGCUCAGCAGUGAUCUGGAAAUGUGCCUUUGCAAAUUUGUGCUGUUCUUUAUCCUGGGGAUGCCACAAAAAAUGGAAAGCUUUUGCGAUUGAAGCAACAAUUUUUCCUGUGCAGUGCAUCACUUCAG
Non-coding RNA from Camellia sinensis, 679 nucleotides. The record is from RefSeq and is a predicted model, not a curated record. NCBI's taxonomy places the organism in Eukaryota, Viridiplantae, Streptophyta, Magnoliopsida, Ericales, Theaceae.